RNAcentral lists this ribosomal RNA (315 nucleotides) under uncultured eukaryote. RNAcentral describes it as "partial 18S ribosomal RNA". It matches the Rfam family "Eukaryotic small subunit ribosomal RNA", at positions 1470 to 1796 of the family's 1831-position model. The record is from RNAcentral.
CCCUUAGAUGUUCUGGGCUGCACGCGCGCUACACUGACGCACGCAACAGGUGCCUGCUCCGAGAGGACUGGGUAAUCAUUUGAGUGUGCGUCGUGAUGGGGAUAGAAUAUUGUAGUUAUUACUCUUCAACGAGGAAUUCCUAGUAAGCGCCAGUCAGCAGCUUGCGCUGAUUACGUCCCUGCCCUUUGUACACACCGCCCGUCGCUCCUACCGAUGGGUGAUCCGGUGAAUGAUUCGGACUUCAGCGGCUCCCCUGGGGUGCGCCGGAGAAAGUUUUGUGAACCUUAUCACUUGGAGGAAGGAGAAGUCGUAACA